GCCAACAAAACAGAUGCCCAAAAAGUGACUGCCGCUCGUCUUAAUCCAGCCUGCCGACACUCUGCCCCUGUCCAAAACUGCAGCUUGGCAUUAUUGAGCAUGUCCUGUGCGUGUGUUUCGUCAUGUCUUGUCUUGUUUGCUCCUUGUUUGCUGUCCGCUCGGUUUUUGUGCCCGCUAUAAGGUCGUAAAAGUUUUCGUAAGCCAACAGCCAGCAGAGAGGAAGAAAAACUUGAGUUUUGUUUAUUUGUUGUUUCGCUUUUCCGCCUUUGUUUGCCGGGAGUUU
This 283-nucleotide long non-coding RNA is filed under the name Drosophila guanche. The record is from RNAcentral. Lineage: Eukaryota; Metazoa; Arthropoda; Insecta; Diptera; Drosophilidae.